Molecule: small nuclear RNA, 103 nt
Organism: Oryctolagus cuniculus (rabbit)
Lineage: Eukaryota; Metazoa; Chordata; Mammalia; Lagomorpha; Leporidae
Source: Ensembl
UCGCUUGAGCAGCACAUGUACUAAAAUUGGAACGAUACAGAGAAGAUUAGCAUGGCCCCUGUGCAAGGAUGACAUGCAAAUUCGUGAAGCGUUCCAUAUUUUU